AGUCACUGACAUUAGAUACCCGUGUAGUCCCAGCCGUAAACUAUGCUCGCUAGGUGUCAGGCAUGGCGCGACCGUGUCUGGUGCCGCAGGGAAGCCGUGAAGCGAGCCACCUGGGAAGUACGGCCGCAAGGCUGAAACUUAAAGGAAUUAGCGGGGGAGCACAACAACGGGUGGAGCCUGCGGUUUAAUUGGACUCAACGCCGGACAACUCACCGGGGACGACAGCAAUAUGUAGGCCAGGCUGAAGACCUUGCCUGAAUCGCUG
Molecule: ribosomal RNA, 265 nt
Filed under: uncultured archaeon
Lineage: Archaea
Description: partial 16S ribosomal RNA
Rfam family: Archaeal small subunit ribosomal RNA
Source: RNAcentral